CUGUUGAAAAGGUAAACCAUCCGCAAGGAUGGGACACAAAGCUAUAGGGCCCAGUUAAAAGUUGAGGGCAGCCAGUUACCAAC
Molecule: non-coding RNA, 83 nt
Filed under: Candidatus Omnitrophota bacterium
Lineage: Bacteria; Pseudomonadati; Candidatus Omnitrophota
Description: Omnitrophica WOR c-di-GMP sequence
Rfam family: c-di-GMP-I riboswitch aptamer
About the family: GEMM was predicted in a large-scale screen for bacterial structured RNA regulatory elements. Genes associated with GEMM are involved in a diverse array of functions, including chemotaxis regulation, signal transduction, secretion and chitin.
Source: RNAcentral